UACGUAAGGUGCAAGCGUUGUCCGGAAUUAUUGGGCGUAAAGAGCUCGUAGGCGGUUUGUCGCGUCUGCUGUGAAAAUCCAGGGCUUAACCCUGGACCUGCAGUGGGUACGGGCAGACUGGAGUGCGGUAGGGGAGAUCGGAAUUCCUGGUGUAGCGGUGAAAUGCGCAGAUAUCAGGAGGAACACCGGUGGCGAAGGCGGAUCUCUGGGCCGUAACUGACGCUGAGGAGCGAAAGCAUGGGGAGCGAACAGG
Molecule: ribosomal RNA, 253 nt
Filed under: uncultured bacterium
Lineage: Bacteria
Description: partial 16S ribosomal RNA
Rfam family: Bacterial small subunit ribosomal RNA
Source: RNAcentral